RNAcentral lists this ribosomal RNA (417 nucleotides) under uncultured bacterium. RNAcentral's name for it is "bacterial SSU rRNA". It matches the Rfam family "Archaeal small subunit ribosomal RNA", at positions 455 to 871 of the family's 1478-position model. The record is from RNAcentral.
GUGCCAGCAGCCGCGGUAACACCGGCCGCUCGAGUGGUAGCCGCGUUUAUUGGGCCUAAAGCGUCCGUAGCCGGUCCGAUAAGUCUCUGGUGAAAGCCCACAGCUCAACUGUGGGAAUCGCUGGAGGUCCUAUCGGACUUGAGGCCAGGAGAGGCUGGAGGUACUCCCAGGGUAGGGGUGAAAUCCUAUAAUCCUGGGAGGACCACCUGUAGCGAAGGCGUCCAGCUGGAACGGACCUGACGGUGAGGGACGAAAGCCAGGGGCGCGAACCGGAGGAGAUGCCCGGGUAGUCCUGGCCGUAAACGAUGCGGACUUGGUGUUGGGACGGCUUUGAGCUGUCCCAGUGCCGAAGGGAAGCUGUUAAGUCCGCCGCCUGGGAAGUACGGCCGCAAGGCUGAAACUUAAAGGAAUUGGCGG